This 330-nucleotide ribosomal RNA is filed under the name uncultured bacterium. Its description in RNAcentral is "bacterial SSU rRNA". It matches the Rfam family "Bacterial small subunit ribosomal RNA", at positions 568 to 898 of the family's 1533-position model. The record is from RNAcentral.
UCCGUAGGCGGUGCGGCAAGUCGGAAGUGAAAUCUCAGGGCUUAACCCUGAGGCUGCUUCCGAAACUGCCGUGCUGGAGUGCGAGAGAGGCGAGUGGAAUUGCAGGUGUAGCGGUGAAAUGCGUAGAUAUCUGCAGGAACAUCCGAGGCGAAAGCGGCUCGCUGGAUCGCAACUGACGCUGAGGGACGAAAGCUAGGGGAGCAAACAGGAUUAGAUACCCUGGUAGUCCUAGCCCUAAACGAUCAGGACUGGGCGUGGGCCUCGUACGGGGCUCGUGCCGCAGCUAACGCGUUAAGUCCUGCGCCUGGGGAGUAUGGUCGCAAGGCUGAA